RNAcentral lists this non-coding RNA (310 nucleotides) under Chelonia mydas (Green sea turtle). RNAcentral describes it as "Eukaryotic large subunit ribosomal RNA". It matches the Rfam family "Eukaryotic large subunit ribosomal RNA", at positions 1543 to 1841 of the family's 3401-position model. The record is from Rfam by way of RNAcentral. Lineage: Eukaryota; Metazoa; Chordata; Testudines; Cheloniidae.
UCUUAAGGGAUGGGCGAUGGCCUCCAUUGCCCACAGCCAAUCAAAGGGGUGUUGAGUUCAGAUCCCCAGAUCCGGAGUGGCAGAGAUGGGUGCUGCAAGGUAUCCAGUGCAGUAAUGCAACCGAUCCUAGAGAAGCCAGCAGGAACCCCAGGGAGAGUUUUCUUUUCUUUGUGAAGGGCAGGGCACCCUGGAAUGGGUUCGCUCUGAGAGCGGGCCCGAGCCUUGGAAAGUGUCACAGUUCCAGCGGUGUCCGAUGAGCUCUGACUGGUCCUUGAAAAUCUGGGGGAGAUGGUGUAAAUCUCAUGCUGGG